CCUACGGGAGGCUGCAGUGGGGAAUAUUGGACAAUGGGGGGAACCCUGAUCCAGCCAUGCCGCGUGUGUGAAGAAGGCCCUCGGGUUGUAAAGCACUUUCAGUGAGGAAGAACGCCUGGUGGUUAAUACCCAUCAGGAAAGACAUCACUCACAGAAGAAGCACCGGCUAACUCCGUGCCAGCAGCCGCGGUAAUACGGAGGGUGCGAGCGUUAAUCGGAAUUACUGGGCGUAAAGCGCGCGUAGGUGGCUUGAUAAGCCGGUUGUGAAAGCCCCGGGCUCAACCUGGGAACGGCAUCCGGAACUGUCAAGCUAGAGUGCAGGAGAGGAAGGUAGAAUUCCCGGUGUAGCGGUGAAAUGCGUAGAGAUCGGGAGGAAUACCAGUGGCGAAGGCGGCCUUCUGGACUGACACUGACACUGAGGUGUGAAAGCGUGGGUAGCAAACAGGAUUAGAUACCCCUGUAGUC
RNAcentral lists this ribosomal RNA (465 nucleotides) under Vreelandella stevensii. Its description in RNAcentral is "partial 16S ribosomal RNA". It matches the Rfam family "Bacterial small subunit ribosomal RNA", at positions 338 to 795 of the family's 1533-position model. The record is from RNAcentral. Lineage: Bacteria; Pseudomonadati; Pseudomonadota; Gammaproteobacteria; Oceanospirillales; Halomonadaceae.